RNAcentral lists this ribosomal RNA (1565 nucleotides) under Ichthyophiidae sp. KUHE 39230. RNAcentral's name for it is "16S rRNA". It matches the Rfam family "Bacterial large subunit ribosomal RNA". RNAcentral also lists the same sequence under 1 other name. Lineage: Eukaryota; Metazoa; Chordata; Amphibia; Gymnophiona; Ichthyophiidae. The record is from RNAcentral.
ACUAUCCAGCUAGCUCAAACAUUUAACUUCUAACACAAUAAUCUAAAACAUUCACCAGAAUAGUAUAGGCGAUAGAAACACACUUUGAAGCAAUAGAAAAAGUACCGCAAGGGAAAGCUGAAAAAGAAAUUAAACAAACCAUAAAAGUAUAAAAAAGCAGGGCUCAGCCCCCGUACCUUUUGCAUCAUGAUCUAGCAAGUUAAACCGAGGCAAAAAGACCUUUAGUCCCUCCCCCCGAAACUAGAUGAGCUAUUUAAGAGCAGCUAUACGAGCAAACCCGUCUAUGUGGCAAAAUAGUGGGAAGACUCCUAAAUAGAGGUGACAAACCAAACGAAUCUAGUGAUAGCUGGUUACUCAACAAACAAGUCUUAGCUUGACCUUAAACCUUAUCACAAUAACAAAAAUAUUGAUUAAAGUUCAAGAGUUAUUCACAAGAGGUACAGCUCUUAUGAAAAAGGAGACAACCUACAAACUGGGUAAUGAUCAUAAUACUCCACUCACAUCCUAGUAGGCUUAAAAGCAGCCAUCUACAAGAAAGCGUCACAGCUCACACCCUCCAAAAUUCUAAUAAAACAUCAAAACCCGCAACAAUUAAUUGAGCUAAACUAUACAAAUAGAUAAAUUAAUACUAGAAUUAGUAAUAAGAAAACACGAUUUUCUCUGUGCGAACCCAUAAAUCAGACCGAACCAAUCCCUGAUAAUAACCGACCCUCCCUUAAUGGGAAUAAAUACCAAUAAUAAACAAGAAAAACACUAAACACGAACUCGUUAACCCUACACAGGCUCGCAACAAGAAAGACAAAAAGACAAAGAAGGAACUCAGCAAACACAAACCCCGCCUGUUUACCAAAAACAUCGCCUCUAGCUCAACCCGAUAUUAGAGGUACUGCCUGCCCAGUGAUAAUAUUCAACGGCCGCGGUAUUUUGACCGUGCAAAGGUAGCAUAAUCACUUGUCUUCUAAAUAAAGACUAGUAUGAACGGCAAGACGAAGGCCUAACUGUCUCCUUUGUCCCCUCAAUGAAAUUGAUCUCACAGUACAAAAGCUGUGAUCAAACAACAAGACGAGAAGACCCUAUGGAGCUUAAAACACACUAGAAAGUGCAACAAUAUUUUACAAUCUCCAAUACUAAUUCCACACUGUUUUUGGUUGGGGCGACCACGGAGAACACUAACCCUCCGAGAUGACAUGCCAGGAAAACAAUCCAAAACAUCAGAAAACUGACAUAAUUGACCCAAUAACUUUGAUCAACGAACCAAGUUACCCUAGGGAUAACAGCGCAAUCCUCUUCAAGAGCCCAUAUCGACAAGAGGGCUUACGACCUCGAUGUUGGAUCAGGAUAACCUGACAGUGCAACAGCCGUCAAAGGUUUGUUUGUUCAACAAUUAAAAUCCUACGUGAUCUGAGUUCAGACCGGAGCAAUCCAGGUCAGUUUCUAUCUGUUAUGUAAUUUUUUCUAGUACGAAAGGACCGAAAAAACAUGGCCAAUACAACAUGUACGCCAUCAAAAAACUAAUGAAAUCAACUAAACUAAACAAAACACAACACACCUCAAAACAAGAGGCU